AGAGUUGAUUCUGGCUCAGACGAACGCUGCGGCAUGGAUUAGGCAUGCAAGUCGAACGGACUGUAGCAAUACAGUCAGUGGCGGAAGGGUGAGGAACGCGUGAGCAACCUGCCCUCAAGUUGGGAAUAACAGCUGGAAACGGCUGAUAAUACCGAAUGUGGCUUUCGGACGCAUGUCCGGAAGGCUAAAGAUUUAUCGCUUGAGGAUGGGCUCGCGUCCCAUUAGCUAGUUGGUGAGGUAACGGCUCACCAAGGCAACGAUGGGUAGCUGGUCUGAGAGGAUGGUCAGCCACACUGGGACUGAGACACUGCCCAGACUCCUACGGGAGGCUGCAGUCGAGAAUCUUGGGCAAUGCGCGAAAAAGCGUGACCCAGCAAUGCCGCGUGCGGGAUGAAGGUCUUCGGAUUGUAAACCGCUGUCACCCGGGACGAAAAAUGACGGUACCGGGGGAGGAAGCCACGGCUAACUACGUGCCAGCAGCUGC
Molecule: ribosomal RNA, 484 nt
Filed under: uncultured bacterium
Lineage: Bacteria
Description: bacterial SSU rRNA
Rfam family: Bacterial small subunit ribosomal RNA
Source: RNAcentral